CCUAGGGGCGGCAGCAGUGGGGAAUAUUGGACAAUGGGCGAAAGCCUGAUCCAGCCAUGCCGCGUGUGUGAAGAAGGCCUUCGGGUUGUAAAGCACUUUCAGUGGCGAAGAAAGCCUUGGGGCUAAUACCCUCGAGGAAGGACAUCACCCACAGAAGAAGCACCGGCUAACUCCGUGCCAGCAGCCGCGGUAAUACGGAGGGUGCGAGCGUUAAUCGGAAUUACUGGGCGUAAAGCGCGCGUAGGCGGUCUGAUAAGCCGGUUGUGAAAGCCCCGGGCUCAACCUGGGAACGGCAUCCGGAACUGUCAGGCUAGAGUGCAGGAGAGGAAGGUAGAAUUCCCGGUGUAGCGGUGAAAUGCGUAGAGAUCGGGAGGAAUACCAGUGGCGAAGGCGGCCUUCUGGACUGACACUGACGCUGAGGUGCGAAAGCGUGGGUAGCAAACAGGAUUAGAUACCCCGGUAGUC
Molecule: ribosomal RNA, 465 nt
Filed under: Vreelandella stevensii
Lineage: Bacteria; Pseudomonadati; Pseudomonadota; Gammaproteobacteria; Oceanospirillales; Halomonadaceae
Description: partial 16S ribosomal RNA
Rfam family: Bacterial small subunit ribosomal RNA
Source: RNAcentral